AAACAUUAGAUCUCUAAUUUUAAUAGUUGAGAGGAAGGUUAUAAAAUAAAACAGACAACACAGAGCUUCAUGACGGCCUCGGAUUGGCAGUCAACCCAGGGAUACAGAAAUGUAAACAAAAACAGAGCUUCCAGAUAACAUUAUUGUGUGCUAUGUAACUUUCAGAAUACAGCAGCUCCCCAGACACUCUAAAGUCAAGUGAAACAAGAGUUUUGAGAAUCAAUCUAUACACAUUUCAGAGGGCAGUCCAGGAAGGAGCCUUCCUCUUAGGUCAGCCCAGGGCUGGGCCUGAGCCUGAGCCCGGGGUGGUGUAGACACUACCCAUUUUGGACAGGGGAGGCCAAAGUGGUUCUGCUUCGGGUGAAAAAGUCAGAAAAAAGGCAACAGAUACAAUUUGAUAGCCGUCAAAUCCUCUCCUCCCUCUGGAAGUUUCUGAGGUGCUGGUCAUCAUUCUGUCCCAUGUGUUGCCACUGCGCUAGGGCUUUUGACUCAACCAAAAAAAGGGCCGGUCUUCCAGCCUGGUCCUGCAAGAGUGUCCUAGUGCUUCAGGUAGUGGAUGGGCAUCGUCAUUCAUCCCACCUGCCUGCCCCCUAAAGCCCCAGAAGGACACACCUUCAGCAUCAGGCCAGCUCUCCGGGUCACUGGGGCUUGCCUCAACACGAUGUGCAGGGCAGAGCCGGGAGGAAAGAGCAGAAGAUGCCAUGGGCUGUUCGCAGGAGCAGCCGUCCAGGGCGCCACUGGAGGAAGAUCUUCCAGUGGCUGUCUCAGCACGUACAAAGAAUAGGGGUGGGUUGGGGCAGCCCCCGCCCAGAGCCAAGGCACAGAGGAGGUUUGAAAUGUCCAGGAUAAAUAGAAGUGCAUGGGAAUGGAGAAAAGCCAGCUCCAUCCCACUCUUAAAAACAUCGCCAUUGGCACCAAAAAUAUAUUAACAUCUGUACAUUUGUCAUCUUUAAAAAAAAAAAAGGGAAAUAAAACCUUCUUGGCACCUUGCAGUUUAUUUCGUAGAAAUGAGGUGAAAUGUGGAAAGGCUUCCUGCACGUGAACAUGCAC
This 1050-nucleotide non-coding RNA is filed under the name Pongo abelii (Sumatran orangutan). Lineage: Eukaryota; Metazoa; Chordata; Mammalia; Primates; Hominidae. The record is from RNAcentral.